RNAcentral lists this ribosomal RNA (229 nucleotides) under uncultured Glomeromycotina. RNAcentral's name for it is "partial small subunit ribosomal RNA". It matches the Rfam family "Eukaryotic small subunit ribosomal RNA", at positions 569 to 802 of the family's 1831-position model. The record is from RNAcentral. Lineage: Eukaryota; Fungi; Glomeromycota.
AGCAGCUACAAUAAUUUUCAGCUCCAAUAGCGUAUAUUAAAGUUGUUGCAGUUAAAAAACUCGUAGUUGAAUUUCGGGGAUCAAUGUUUCGGUCAUGCCGUUGGUAUGUACUGAUAUUUUGAUUUCUCAAUCUUCUAAAGAACCGUAAUGCCAUUAAAUUUGGUGUCACAGGAAUUUGACUGUUACCUUGAAAAAUUAGAGUGUUUAAAGCAGGCUCACGCUUGAAUAC